RNAcentral lists this ribosomal RNA (166 nucleotides) under uncultured bacterium. RNAcentral describes it as "partial 16S rRNA". It matches the Rfam family "Bacterial small subunit ribosomal RNA", at positions 355 to 511 of the family's 1533-position model. The record is from RNAcentral.
UAGGGAAUCUUCCACAAUGGGCGAAAAGCCUGAUGGAGCAACGCCGCGUGUGUGAUGAAGGGUUUCGGCUACGUAAAACACUGUUGUAAGAGAAGAAUGACAUUGAGAGUAACUGUUCAAUGUGUGACGGUAUCUUACCAGAAAGGAACGGCUAAAUACGUGCUAG